UCAAGAUGGCGUCUGAAAAUCUAGGCCUAGAUGGAAUAUACUUUUGCCUAAAGCUCGCACUACUUGUAAAACUAUUAGUUUGAAAAAAAAAGUACCGAUACAUUUAAAAUCAAUCUACACAUAGUAUGAUUUUGUAAUUGGCCCAUGGGAUGGUGACCUUAAUUGAAUUUGUACUUAGUGUUGUGUAGCAGGCAGGUGACCAGCCCAACUGAGAGAAGCUUCAGUCCUAACAUGGCAGGUGACCAGCCCAACUGAGAGAAGCUUCAGUCCUAACAUGGCAGGUGAUCAGCCCAACUGAGAGAACUUCAGUCCUAACAUGGCAGGUGACCAGCCCAAAUGAGAGAAGCUUCAGUCCUAACAUGGCAGGUGAUCAGCCCAACUGAGAGAAGCUUCAGUCCUAACAUGGCAGGUGACCAGCCCAACUGAGAGAAGCUUCAGUCCUAACAUGGCAGGUGAUCAGCCCAACUGAGAGAAGCUUCAGUCCUAACAUGGCAGUAACUCUGUGAAGAAGGGCGAUCAGAGGACAGAAGACAUUUAUCUACAAAGAAAUUGAUUUGACCUUGAAUACAGAUCUACGAUAUCAAACUACAUUGACUUUUCUGAAAGAAAGAUGUUUAUGUCACAGAACAAAGCUAUGGGGUUGCCUAGGUAAUAAAGAUGUGUAUGUCACAGAACAAAGCUAUGGGGUUGCCUAGGUAAUAAAGAUGUUUAUGUCACAGAACAAAGCUAUUGGGUUGCCUAGGUAAUAAAGAUGUUUGUCACAGAACAAAGCUAUGGGGUUGCCUAGGUAAUAAAGAUGUGUAUGUCACAGAACAAAGCUAUUGGGUUGCCUAGGUAAUAAAGAUGUUUAUGUCACAGAACAAAGCUAUGGGGUUGCCUAGGUAAUAAAGAUGUUUAUGUCACAGAACAAAGCUAUGGGGUUGCCUAGGUAAUAAAGAUGUUUAUAUCACAGAACAAAGCUAUGGGGUUGCCUAGGUAAUAAAGAUGUUUAUGUCACAGAACAAAGCUAUGGGGUUGCCUAGGUAAUAAAGAUGUUUAUAUCACAGAACAAAGCUAUGGGGUUGCCUAGGUAAUAAAGAUGUGUAUGUCACAGAACAAAGCUAUGGGGUUGCUUAGGUAGUAAAGAAGUUUAUGUCACAGAACAAAGCUAUGGGGUUGCUUAGGUAGUAAAGAAGUUUAUGUCACAGAACAAAGCUAUUGGGUUGCCUAGGUAAUAAAGAUGUUUAUGUCACAGAACAAAGCUAUGGGGUUGCCUAGGUAAUGUCGACCAGCAGGAAUUGGUCUCCUCGUCUUUAGUAAAUUAUCAAAAAUAUCUUUUAUAUAUUUUAUAUGAUGAUAUUAUUCUUAUAAAAUAUGAUAUUUUACUUAUAUAAUAUAAUAAUAAUAAUAAUCUUUAUUA
Biomphalaria glabrata is the source of this 1399-nucleotide long non-coding RNA. RefSeq lists it as uncharacterized. The record is from RefSeq and is a predicted model, not a curated record. The transcript is spliced from 3 exons. Lineage: Eukaryota; Metazoa; Mollusca; Gastropoda; Planorbidae.